UUGAUUACGUCCCUGCCCUUUGUACACACCGCCCGUCGCUGCCCGGAACUGGGCCACUUCGAGAAGCUCGGGGAUCGCUGGCUUGACGGCUUUCGGGCCAUCGUGCCGGUGAGAACCGAUUUAAUCGCAGUGGCUUGAACCGGGCAAAAGUCGUAACAAGGUAGCUGUAGGUGAACCUGCUGCUGGAUCAUUACCCACGUGAU
Molecule: ribosomal RNA, 203 nt
Filed under: Rotylenchus brevicaudatus
Lineage: Eukaryota; Metazoa; Nematoda; Chromadorea; Rhabditida; Hoplolaimidae
Description: partial 18S ribosomal RNA
Rfam family: Eukaryotic small subunit ribosomal RNA
Source: RNAcentral